RNAcentral lists this ribosomal RNA (1054 nucleotides) under uncultured bacterium. RNAcentral's name for it is "bacterial SSU rRNA". It matches the Rfam family "Bacterial small subunit ribosomal RNA", at positions 57 to 1117 of the family's 1533-position model. The record is from RNAcentral.
GCAGUCGACGCUGAAGCCUGGUGCUUGCACCGGGUGGAUGAGUGGCGAACGGGUGAGUAACACGUGAGUAACCUGCCCCUGACUUCGGGAUAAGCCCGGGAAACUGGGUCUAAUACCGGAUACGACUGCCGGACGCAUGUCUGGUGGUGGAAAGUUUUUUCGGUUGGGGAUGGGCUCGCGGCCUAUCAGUUUGUUGGUGAGGUAAUGGCUCACCAAGACGACGACGGGUAGCCGGCCUGAGAGGGCGACCGGCCACACUGGGACUGAGACACGGCCCAGACUCCUACGGGAGGCAGCAGUGGGGAAUAUUGCACAAUGGGGGAAACCCUGAUGCAGCGACGCAGCGUGCGGGAUGACGGCCUUCGGGUUGUAAACCGCUUUCAGCAGGGAAGAAGCGCAAGUGACGGUACCUGCAGAAGAAGUACCGGCUAACUACGUGCCAGCAGCCGCGGUAAUACGUAGGGUACGAGCGUUGUCCGGAAUUAUUGGGCGUAAAGAGCUCGUAGGUGGUUGGUCACGUCUGCUGUGGAAACGCAACGCUUAACGUUGCGCGUGCAGUGGGUACGGGCUGACUAGAGUGCAGUAGGGGAGUCUGGAAUUCCUGGUGUAGCGGUGAAAUGCGCAGAUAUCAGGAGGAACACCGGUGGCGAAGGCGGGACUCUGGGCUGUAACUGACACUGAGGAGCGAAAGCAUGGGGAGCGAACAGGAUUAGAUACCCUGGUAGUCCAUGCCGUAAACGUUGGGCACUAGGUGUGGGGGGCAUUCCACGUUCUCCGCGCCGUAGCUAACGCAUUAAGUGCCCCGCCUGGGGAGUACGGUCGCAAGGCUAAAACUCAAAGGAAUUGACGGGGGCCCGCACAAGCGGCGGAGCAUGCGGAUUAAUUCGAUGCAACGCGAAGAACCUUACCAAGGCUUGACAUACACCGGACCGUCCUGGAAACAGGUCCUCUUCUUUGAAGCUGGUGUACAGGUGGGUGCAUGGUUGUCGUCAGCUCGUGUCGUGAGAAUGUUGGGGUUAAGUCCCGCAACGAGCGCAACCCUCGUUCUAUGUUG